UAUCCAUCAUGUAUCUCUUAGGUUUCUUAUUCUCAACAAACUCCAUAUUUUCUAUUUUGCCCAUUUUUCUGUUCGGAAUCUUAUUUUUAGUGUUCAUUCACAUCUUCUUCAGAGACAAACACGUUGAAGAUUCGCCAGAUUACAGUUCGCUAACGCCACCCCAGUGAAUAAGCUAUCGUCCAAAGAUGCCCCCAGAUACGUAGCCUAUCUUAGCAUUCAAUCCUACAAUUUUAUUCAGCAUCCUGUGAACCCGGUGAGUUAGUGUUCGUCGAGUGUAACCUCUGUACCUGCAAUCCUCAAGGCUUUCCCAACCCUGUCUGCGCACGCAUGUGGUGUC
Molecule: long non-coding RNA, 337 nt
Organism: Macrosteles quadrilineatus (aster leafhopper)
Lineage: Eukaryota; Metazoa; Arthropoda; Insecta; Hemiptera; Cicadellidae
Exons: 3
Source: RefSeq, a predicted model, not a curated record